This 467-nucleotide ribosomal RNA is filed under the name uncultured bacterium. RNAcentral describes it as "partial 16S ribosomal RNA". It matches the Rfam family "Bacterial small subunit ribosomal RNA", at positions 28 to 507 of the family's 1533-position model. The record is from RNAcentral.
GACGAACGCUGGCGGCGUGCUUAACACAUGCAAGUCGAACGGAAAGGCCCUGCUUUUGUGGGGUGCUCGAGUGGCGAACGGGUGAGUAACACGUGAGUAACCUGCCCUUGACUUUGGGAUAACUUCAGGAAACUGGGGCUAAUACCGGAUAGGAGCUCCUGCUGCAUGGUGGGGGUUGGAAAGUUUCGGCGGUUGGGGAUGGACUCGCGGCUUAUCAGCUUGUUGGUGGGUAGUGGCUUACCAAGGCUUUGACGGGUAGCCGGCCUGAGAGGGUGACCGGCCACAUUGGGAUUGAGAUACGGCCCAGACUCCUACGGGAGGCAGCAGUGGGGAAUAUUGCACAAUGGGCGGAAGCCUGAUGCAGCAACGCCGCGUGCGGGAUGACGGCCUUCGGGUUGUAAACCGCUUUCGCCUGUGACGAAGCGUGAGUGACGGUAAUGGGUAAAGAAGCACCGGCUAACUACGUG